This 942-nucleotide ribosomal RNA is filed under the name human gut metagenome. RNAcentral describes it as "bacterial LSU rRNA". It matches the Rfam family "Bacterial large subunit ribosomal RNA", at positions 1637 to 2596 of the family's 2925-position model. The record is from RNAcentral.
GGUGCCCGUACCGCAAACCGACACAGGUAGGUAGGAAGAAGAUUCUAAGGCCAACGGGAGAAGGGUUGUUAAGGAACUCGGCAAAUUGACCCCGUAACUUCGGGAGAAGGGGUGCUCCAGAGAUGGAGCCGCAGAGAAUCGGCCCAAGCAACUGUUUACCAAAAACACAGGUUUGUGCUAAAUCGAAAGAUGACGUAUACGAGCUGACGCCUGCCCGGUGCUGGAAGGUUAAGAGGAGAUGUGCAAGCAUUGAAUCGAAGCCCCAGUGAACGGCGGCCGUAACUAUAACGGUCCUAAGGUAGCGAAAUUCCUUGUCAGGUAAGUUCUGACCCGCAUGAAAGGCGUAAUGAUUUGGGCACUGUCUCAACAGCCCGCCCGGCGAAAUUGUAGUACCGGUGAAGAUGCCGGUUACCCGCGACAAGACGGAAAGACCCCAUGGAGCUUUACUGUAGCCUAAUAUUGGGUUUCGAUGUUGCAUGCACAGGAUAGAUGGGACUCUGGGAAACCAAGGCUUUGGCUUUGGCGGAGAGGCCGUUGGGAUACCAUCCUUGCGAUAUUGGAAUUCUAACCUGCGCCUUUGAAUCAAGGCGGGGGACAUUGUUAGGUGGGCAGUUUGACUGGGGCGGUCGCCUCCUAAAGAGUAACGGAGGCGUUCAAAGGUUCGCUCAGCUUGAACGGAAAUCAAGCAAAAGAGUGCAAACGCAGAAGCGAGCCUAACUGCGAGACUGACGGGUCGAGCAGUAACGAAAGUUGGAGUUAGUGAUCCGGUGGUAUGUGAGUGGAAAUGCCAUCGCUCAACGGAUAAAAGUUACCCUGGGGAUAACAGGCUGAUCUCCCCCAAGAGUCCACAUCGACGGGGAGGUUUGGCACCUCGAUGUCGGCUCAUCGCAUCCUGGGGCUGUAUUCGGUCCCAAGGGUUUGGCUGUUCGCCAAUUAAAGCGG